RNAcentral lists this transfer RNA (73 nucleotides) under Wolfiporia cocos MD-104 SS10. Its description in RNAcentral is "tRNA-Arg (TCT) (tRNA-Arg-TCT-1-1)". It matches the Rfam family "tRNA". Rfam says of the family: Transfer RNA (tRNA) molecules are approximately 80 nucleotides in length. Their secondary structure includes four short double-helical elements and three loops (D, anti-codon, and T loops). The record is from RNAcentral. Lineage: Eukaryota; Fungi; Basidiomycota; Agaricomycetes; Polyporales; Phaeolaceae.
GCCCCCAUUGUCUAAUGGCUAUGACGUCAGACUUCUAAUCUGGAGGUUGCGGGUUCGAGUCCCGCUGGGGGUA